RNAcentral lists this ribosomal RNA (492 nucleotides) under uncultured bacterium. Its description in RNAcentral is "partial 16S ribosomal RNA". It matches the Rfam family "Bacterial small subunit ribosomal RNA", at positions 29 to 507 of the family's 1533-position model. The record is from RNAcentral.
AGUGAACGCUGGCGGCAGGCCUAACACAUGCAAGUCGAACGGCAGCACAUUAAGAGCUUGCUCUUACGGGUGGCGACUGGCGGACGGGUGAGGAAUACAUCGGCAUCUACUUUUUCGUGGGGGAUAACGUAGGGAAACUUACGCUAAUACCGCAUACGUCUUACGGGUGAAAGCAGGGUAUCUUCGUACCUUUCCCGAUUUCAUGAGCCGUUGUCGGAUUAGUUAGUUGGUGGGGUAACGGCCCACCAAGGCGACGAUCCGUAGCUGGUCUGAGAGGAUGAAGAGCCACUCGGGAACUGAGACACGGUCCAGACUCCUAGGGGAGGCAGAAGAGGGGAAUAUUGGAAAAGGGGCGAAAGCCUGAUCCAGCAAUACCGCGUGGGUGAAGAAGGCCUUCGGGUUGUAAAGCCCGUUUGUUGGGAAAGAAAAGCAGCAGGGUAAAAACCCGCUGUUGUGACGGUACCCAAAGAAUAAGCACCGGCUAACUUCGUG